UAUGCCAGCCUGCACCGCAACCUCUGGUACAGCCUGCAUCUAUAAGCCAGCCUGCACCGCAACCUUUGGCUGUAUCUAUAUGCCAGCCUGCACCGCAACCUCGACCGGGGGCAAUUCCUCCUUCACUAUUGGAAUAUCAGCAUAAGCUUACAGGGAGACUGCCUAUGAUGGAAGCUCCUUAUUUAGCUCAGGUGCAAUAUAACAACAUUCUACCGCCAGUGGAGGCUCGACCUGUUCUCAACAUCACUUAUCCGGAGCAUGGGUCCCAUAGAAGAGAAGCUAAUGUGGAAAAUGUAUAUCCAACUUUGGACCAUC
This 315-nucleotide long non-coding RNA is filed under the name Salvia miltiorrhiza (redroot sage). RNAcentral's name for it is "long non-coding RNA (SMIL_LNC006627)". Lineage: Eukaryota; Viridiplantae; Streptophyta; Magnoliopsida; Lamiales; Lamiaceae. The record is from RNAcentral.